RNAcentral lists this ribosomal RNA (497 nucleotides) under uncultured bacterium. Its description in RNAcentral is "partial 16S ribosomal RNA". It matches the Rfam family "Bacterial small subunit ribosomal RNA", at positions 28 to 507 of the family's 1533-position model. The record is from RNAcentral.
GAUGAACGCUGGCGGCGUGCCUAAUACAUGCAAGUCGAACGAACAGACCAGGCUUUUGCGCGUCUGACGUUAGCGGAGGAGGGGAGAGUCACACGUGUAUAACCUACCUAUAAGACUGGUAUAACUACGGGAAACCGGCGCUUAUAGCGGAUAAUAUAUUGCACCGCGUGGUGCAAUGGUGAGAGUCGGUUUUGCGGUCAGUUAUAGAUGGAUCCGCGCCGCAUUCGGUAGUUGGUAAGGUAACGGCUUAGCAAGGCGACGAUGCGUAGCCGACCUGAGAGGGUGAUCGGCCACCUGGGAGCGGAGACGGGGUCCAGACUCCUACGGUAGGCAGCAGUAGGGAAUCUUCCGCAAGGGUGGAGAGCUUGACGGAGCGACGCGGCGUGAGUGAUGACGGUGCCCGGAUCGGAAAACUCUGUUAUUAGUGGAGAACAAAUGUGUAAGUAACUGUGCCGGUAUUGACGGUACCGGGUCAGGAAGCCACGGCUAACUACGUG